RNAcentral lists this ribosomal RNA (372 nucleotides) under uncultured organism. RNAcentral's name for it is "bacterial SSU rRNA". It matches the Rfam family "Bacterial small subunit ribosomal RNA", at positions 526 to 896 of the family's 1533-position model. The record is from RNAcentral.
CGAGUGCCCCAAGCGUUAUCCGGAAUUAUUGGGCGUAAAGGGUGUGUAGGUGGUUUUGUUAGUCUUCUGUUAAAUUCUUCGGCUUAACCGGGGGUCUGCAAAAGAAACGGCAAAACUAGAGGAUGCGAGAGGUGUGCGGAACUCAUGGUGUAGGGGUGAAAUCCGUUGAUAUCAUGGGGAGCACCGAAAGCGAAGGCAGCACACUGGCGCACUCCUGACACUGAAACACGAAAGCGUGGGUAGCGAAUGGGAUUAGAUACCCCAGUAGUCCACGCCCUAAACGAUGUUCAUUAGCUAUUCGGAGUAUCGACCCUCUGAGUGGCGUAGCUAACGCGUUAAAUGAACCGCCUGGGUAGUACGGCCGCAAGGCUA